AAUCUACUCCCUCCGUCCGGAAAUACUUGUCAUAGAAAUGGAUGUAUCUAGACGCAUUUUAGUUCUAGAUACAUCCAGUUUUAUUCAUUUUUGCUACAAGUAAUUCAGGACGGAGGGAGUAAUUA
Molecule: non-coding RNA, 125 nt
Organism: Triticum urartu
Lineage: Eukaryota; Viridiplantae; Streptophyta; Magnoliopsida; Poales; Poaceae
Source: Rfam